Long non-coding RNA from Glycine soja, 300 nucleotides. RefSeq lists it as uncharacterized. The record is from RefSeq and is a predicted model, not a curated record. NCBI's taxonomy places the organism in Eukaryota, Viridiplantae, Streptophyta, Magnoliopsida, Fabales, Fabaceae. The transcript is spliced from 3 exons.
UCACUUUUGCUUUACUUUUUCAAUUGUUUCUUGUACUUUGCAUUUGUCUACUUAUUGUAGUGCCAGCUGAAUUCAGAAAUACUGAUGAGUGAUUAUUUACUUUAUGUAUUGAUGGGCUGCUUGCAUUUUAUUUAGGGAAUAGAGGCUGCAAGGUAGCUGGAAUCUGAAGAAGGACAUAUGAGACUUUCAAAAGCUUCUACGGUCUUUGAUCCCUAGGAUCCAAAAGCCUUGGUCAAGACUCAUUCAUGUCUGUUCCCAAUGAGGAAAACUUGUUGUCACAUUCCCAGGUGUGCUCUUUAA